AAGGGCCGCAGUAUUUUGACUGUGCAAAGGUAGCAUAAUCAAUAGUUUUUUAAUUGGAAGCUUGUAUGAAAGAUUGGACGAGAUAAAAACUGUCUUCUUAAUAAUUUAAAUUAGAAUUUAAAUUUUAAGUUAAAAAGCUUAAAUUUUUAUAAAAGACGAGAAGACCCUAUAGAGUUUUAUAUAUUUUUAUAAUUUUAAUAUUAAGUUUAAUUAAUUAUAAUUUUAAAUAUUUAUUUUAUUGGGGUAAUAAAAAGAUUAAAAUAAUUCUUUUUUUUAUAAACAUUAAUAUAUGAUUUUUUGAUCCUAUUUUAUAGAUUAAAAGAUUAAAUUACCUUAGGGAUAACAGCGUAAUUUUUUUAGAGAGUUCAUAUCGAUAAAAAAGUUUGCGACCUCGAUGUUGGAUUAAAGAUUAAUUUAGGGGUAGAAUUUUAAAUGUUUGGUCUGUUCGACCAUUAAAUCUUUACAUGAUCUGAGUUCAAACCGGUGUAAGCCAGGUUGGUUUCUAUCUUUAUGUGAUUUUAAUAGUUUAGUACGAAAGGACCAAUUAUUAUUUAUAUUUAUAAAUAUAAUUUUUGAUUAUAAUUGUUAUUUUGGCAGAAUAGUGCAAUGAAUUUAGAAUUCAUUUAUAUAAUUAAUAGUUAUAAAUAAUAU
Molecule: unclassified non-coding RNA, 651 nt
Filed under: Trechodes cf. lucanerii SMNS L1709
Lineage: Eukaryota; Metazoa; Arthropoda; Insecta; Coleoptera; Carabidae
Description: partial contains 16S ribosomal RNA (rrnL) and tRNA-Leu (trnL)
Rfam family: Bacterial large subunit ribosomal RNA (bases 339-497)
Source: RNAcentral